RNAcentral lists this ribosomal RNA (729 nucleotides) under Pantoea stewartii. RNAcentral describes it as "bacterial SSU rRNA". It matches the Rfam family "Bacterial small subunit ribosomal RNA", at positions 51 to 769 of the family's 1533-position model. The record is from RNAcentral. Lineage: Bacteria; Pseudomonadati; Pseudomonadota; Gammaproteobacteria; Enterobacterales; Erwiniaceae.
ACACAUGCAAGUCGGACGGUAGCACAGAGGAGCUUGCUCCUCGGGUGACGAGUGGCGGACGGGUGAGUAAUGUCUGGGAAACUGCCCGAUGGAGGGGGAUAACUACUGGAAACGGUAGCUAAUACCGCAUAACGUCGCAAGACCAAAGUGGGGGACCUCCGGGCCUCACACCAUCGGAUGUGCCCAGAUGGGAUUAGCUUGUAGGCGGGGUAACGGCCCACCUAGGCGACGAUCCCUAGCUGGUCUGAGAGGAUGACCAGCCACACUGGAACUGAGACACGGUCCAGACUCCUACGGGAGGCAGCAGUGGGGAAUAUUGCACAAUGGGCGCAAGCCUGAUGCAGCCAUGCCGCGUGUAUGAAGAAGGCCUUCGGGUUGUAAAGUACUUUCAGCGGGGAGGAAGGUGCUGAGGUUAAUAACCUCAGCAAUUGACGUUACCCGCAGAAGAAGCACCGGCUAACUCCGUGCCAGCAGCCGCGGUAAUACGGAGGGUGCAAGCGUUAAUCGGAAUUACUGGGCGUAAAGCGCACGCAGGCGGUCUGUUAAGUCAGAUGUGAAAUCCCCGGGCUUAACCUGGGAACUGCAUUUGAAACUGGCAGGCUUGAGUCUCGUAGAGGGGGGUAGAAUUCCAGGUGUAGCGGUGAAAUGCGUAGAGAUCUGGAGGAAUACCGGUGGCGAAGGCGGCCCCCUGGACGAAGACUGACGCUCAGGUGCGAAAGCGUGGACCUC